This is a non-coding RNA of Pelobates cultripes (western spadefoot toad), 213 nucleotides long. NCBI's taxonomy places the organism in Eukaryota, Metazoa, Chordata, Amphibia, Anura, Pelobatidae. The record is from the annotation of a GenBank genome assembly.
AGUUAUCCAAUCACAAGUUGUUUGCAAGUUUUUUGCAGCAAUCAUUUGCAUAUCUCUUGCCAUACGAUCCUCAUUAAUAUAUACUGAAGAAAAAUAGUUAUUUAAAAUUUCUGCUUUUUCCUGGUCUUCAUUAGCUAAUAAACCCAACUCUGUUUCAAGUGUACCUACACUUUCAUUUUUUUUUUUUUUAGAAUUGAUGUACUUGAAAAAAAU